AUUGGGCAUGGUGGCGCGGGCCUGUAAUCCCUGAGACUGGGGAGGCUGAGGCUGGAGAAUUGCAAGUUAGGAACGAGCCUCAGCCUCAGCUAUUUAGCAAGGCCUUAAGCAACUUAGCAAGACCCUGUCUCUA
Molecule: small RNA, 133 nt
Filed under: Marmota monax (woodchuck)
Lineage: Eukaryota; Metazoa; Chordata; Mammalia; Rodentia; Sciuridae
Source: RNAcentral